UUUUGAGUUUGCUUUGUUUUUGUUGUUUUCUAACUUUGCUUGUUGUCUCCUUCUGCUAGACGUUGGGCAUUUAUAUGGAAAUCGAUGCUCGGGAUCAAUCCCUCUAGAGCUCGAUGGACCUGCAGAUCAAUGAAGCCCGCCAUGAGGAGAAUCUCAUGGCGACUGGUGAUGCUUGCGGGCACAUAGUUGCUCUUAAGAGCCAGCUUGAUGACCUCACCCUUC
Molecule: long non-coding RNA, 222 nt
Filed under: Manihot esculenta (cassava)
Lineage: Eukaryota; Viridiplantae; Streptophyta; Magnoliopsida; Malpighiales; Euphorbiaceae
Description: long non-coding RNA (MESC_LNC009259)
Source: RNAcentral